RNAcentral lists this transfer RNA (85 nucleotides) under Watanabea sichuanensis. RNAcentral describes it as "tRNA-Ser". It matches the Rfam family "tRNA". From Rfam's summary of the family: Transfer RNA (tRNA) molecules are approximately 80 nucleotides in length. Their secondary structure includes four short double-helical elements and three loops (D, anti-codon, and T loops). Lineage: Eukaryota; Viridiplantae; Chlorophyta; Trebouxiophyceae; Watanabeales; Watanabeaceae. The record is from RNAcentral.
GGAAGGGUGGCAGAGUGGUCGAAUGCAACGGUUUUGAAAACCGUCGUAGGUAACACUACCGAGGGUUCGAAUCCCUCCCCUUCCG